GCCGAAGUGGCGGAACUGGCAGACGCGCUGGACUCAAAAUCCAGUGGGGCUCGUCCUCGUGCGGGUUCGACUCCCGCCUUCGGCA
This 85-nucleotide transfer RNA is filed under the name Actinomycetes bacterium. RNAcentral describes it as "tRNA-Leu". It matches the Rfam family "tRNA". From Rfam's summary of the family: Transfer RNA (tRNA) molecules are approximately 80 nucleotides in length. Their secondary structure includes four short double-helical elements and three loops (D, anti-codon, and T loops). Further hydrogen bonds mediate the characteristic L-shaped molecular structure. tRNAs have two regions of fundamental functional importance: the anti-codon, which is responsible for specific mRNA codon recognition, and the 3' end, to which the tRNAs corresponding amino acid is attached (by aminoacyl-tRNA synthetases). tRNAs cope with the degeneracy of the genetic code in two manners: having more than one tRNA (with a specific anti-codon) for a particular amino acid; and 'wobble' base-pairing, i.e. permitting non-standard base-pairing at the 3rd anti-codon position. The record is from RNAcentral. Lineage: Bacteria; Bacillati; Actinomycetota; Actinomycetes.